AGAUUUUAAAGCACUGGAGUUACAGGUUCUUAGCUACGAAGAUGAAAUCUGGGACACUAGGGGAAAAAAUAACAGCUUGUUGCCUAAAGGUGACAGUGGCUACUUUAAAUAGAAUGAUGUGAUGCUGCUGGUCCUAAAGGUGAAGAAUCAUUUUCUAAACAUGGAAAAACAAUAAAGGUGGAGUUCAGAAACUAAAAACCUAAA
Molecule: long non-coding RNA, 204 nt
Organism: Suricata suricatta (meerkat)
Lineage: Eukaryota; Metazoa; Chordata; Mammalia; Carnivora; Herpestidae
Exons: 2
Source: RefSeq, a predicted model, not a curated record